Molecule: long non-coding RNA, 859 nt
Filed under: Setaria viridis
Lineage: Eukaryota; Viridiplantae; Streptophyta; Magnoliopsida; Poales; Poaceae
Description: long non-coding RNA (SVIR_LNC002703)
Source: RNAcentral
ACUAACCUAACUUAAGCCUUUUCUUUUAUUUAGAAAAGCAUUAAAUAAUUUCUAAUCUUAAAACCUAAUUCCUAUGGAUUAAUAAGCAUUUUGUGAACAAUAAAACAUUAUUCAAAAUUUUAUACAUUUUAUAAAGGUUAAGUAUUUAUUUAAAUACCUUAAAUAAAGGUACUAAAUAAAUACCUAAAUUUUAUUAUCUUAUCCUAGGGUUUAAAAAUUUUAAUGCAUAAAGUAAAAUAAAAUACACCUAAUAAAAUUGGUUUCACUAAUUUUGGAUAUUUCUACAAUUUAAAAUAAAUUAAAUAUGAAAAUAGAAUUUAAAUCUAAUUUCUAAAACUCUAAAUUAGUUUUUACCGGAAAACCCCCUUGGAACUCCUUUACUCACUCACCCCUGUGACAUCCUGGCCCAAGGCUUAAUAGGAUUGAUAGAAUACUCGUACCAACAAGUUGCAACUUCUUUUCCGGAAGCUCAUCCUCAAAGAACUCCGGGGUUAAGCGUGCUUGGCCCGGAGCAAUUUCGGGAUGGGUGACCGACCGGGAAGUUCUUUCCGGGUGCGCACGAGUGAGGACAAAGUGCGCAGAAAAAACUUGUGUUGGUCUGUGAGGGAGUAAGCGGGCCCGGCCCCGGGGGGGCGGGACGCCACAACACCCGCCCUAUCCUUUAUCACUAACACGCGGGCACAUUGUUCCAUCUUUGAGCUCCAAUUUGAAUAUCGAAACUUAAUUUUGUUUGUCCAACAACUACUGAAACUUGUUAACCUCAUAAUAGAGAUCCCAUUUUGCAUGAUCUUAUCCAACCUCUACAUAUAGAAAUCUUCAAAAACGCGGUCCAAAGUGGGCCACUUAGCACUGAUUUCAG